GGUUAAGCGACUAAGCGUACACGGUGGAUGCCCUGGCAGUCAGAGGCGAUGAAGGACGUGCUAAUCUGCGAUAAGCGUCGGUAAGGUGAUAUGAACCGUUAUAACCGGCGAUUUCCGAAUGGGGAAACCCAGUGUGAUUCGUCACACUAUCAUUAACUGAAUCCAUAGGUUAAUGAGGCGAACCGGGGAACUGAAACAUCUAAGUACCCCGAGGAAAAGAAAUCAACCGAGAUUCCCCAGUAGCGGCGAGCGAACGGGGAGCAGCCCAGAGCCUGAAUCAGUGUGUGUGUUAGUGGAAGCGUCUGGAAAGGCGCGCGAUACAGGGUGACAGCCCCGUACACAAAAAUGCACAUACUGUGAGCUCGAUGAGUAGGGCGGGACACGUGGUAUCCUGUCUGAAUAUGGGGACCAUCCUCCAAGGCUAAAUACUCCUGACUGACCGAUAGUGAACCAGUACCGUGAGGGAAAGGCGAAAAGAACCCCGGCGAGGGGAGUGAAAAAGAACCUGAAACCGUGUACGUACAAGCAGUGGGAGCACAGAGCAAUCUGUGUGACUGCGUACCUUUUGUAUAAUGGGUCAGCGACUUAUAUUCUGUAGCAAGGUUAACCGAAUAGGGGAGCCGAAGGGAAACCGAGUCUUAACUGGGCGUUAAGUUGCAGGGUAUAGACCCGAAACCCGGUGAUCUAGCCAUGGGCAGGUUGAAGGUUGGGUAACACUAACUGGAGGACCGAACCGACUAAUGUUGAAAAAUUAGCGGAUGACUUGUGGCUGGGGGUGAAAGGCCAAUCAAACCGGGAGAUAGCUGGUUCUCCCCGAAAGCUAUUUAGGUAGCGCCUCGUGAAUUCAUCUCCGGGGUAGAGCACUGUUUCGGCAAGGGGGUCAUCCCGACUUACCAACCCGAUGCAAACUGCGAAUACCGGAGAAUGUUAUCACGGGAGACACACGGCGGGUGCUAACGUCCGUCGUGAAGAGGGAAACAACCCAGACCGCCAGCUAAGGUCCCAAAGUCAUGGUUAAGUGGGAAACGAUGUGGGAAGGCCCAGACAGCCAGGAUGUUGGCUUAGAAGCAGCCAUCAUUUAAAGAAAGCGUAAUAGCUCACUGGUCGAGUCGGCCUGCGCGGAAGAUGUAACGGGGCUAAACCAUGCACCGAAGCUGCGGCAGCGACGCUUAUGCGUUGUUGGGUAGGGGAGCGUUCUGUAAGCCUGCGAAGGUGUGCUGUGAGGCAUGCUGGAGGUAUCAGAAGUGCGAAUGCUGACAUAAGUAACGAUAAAGCGGGUGAAAAGCCCGCUCGCCGGAAGACCAAGGGUUCCUGUCCAACGUUAAUCGGGGCAGGGUGAGUCGACCCCUAAGGCGAGGCCGAAAGGCGUAGUCGAUGGGAAACAGGUUAAUAUUCCUGUACUUGGUGUUACUGCGAAGGGGGACGGAGAAGGCUAUGUUGGCCGGGCGACGGUUGUCCCGGUUUAAGCGUGUAGGCUGGUUUUCCAGGCAAAUCCGGAAAAUCAAGGCUGAGGCGUGAUGACGAGGCACUACGGUGCUGAAGCAACAAAUGCCCUGCUUCCAGGAAAAGCCUCUAAGCAUCAGGUAACAUCAAAUCGUACCCCAAACCGACACAGGUGGUCAGGUAGAGAAUACCAAGGCGCUUGAGAGAACUCGGGUGAAGGAACUAGGCAAAAUGGUGCCGUAACUUCGGGAGAAGGCACGCUGAUAUGUAGGUGAAGUCCCUCGCGGAUGGAGCUGAAAUCAGUCGAAGAUACCAGCUGGCUGCAACUGUUUAUUAAAAACACAGCACUGUGCAAACACGAAAGUGGACGUAUACGGUGUGACGCCUGCCCGGUGCCGGAAGGUUAAUUGAUGGGGUCAGCGCAAGCGAAGCUCUUGAUCGAAGCCCCGGUAAACGGCGGCCGUAACUAUAACGGUCCUAAGGUAGCGAAAUUCCUUGUCGGGUAAGUUCCGACCUGCACGAAUGGCGUAAUGAUGGCCAGGCUGUCUCCACCCGAGACUCAGUGAAAUUGAACUCGCUGUGAAGAUGCAGUGUACCCGCGGCAAGACGGAAAGACCCCGUGAACCUUUACUAUAGCUUGACACUGAACAUUGAGCCUUGAUGUGUAGGAUAGGUGGGAGGCUUUGAAGUGUGGACGCCAGUCUGCAUGGAGCCGACCUUGAAAUACCACCCUUUAAUGUUUGAUGUUCUAACGUUGACCCGUGAUCCGGGUUGCGGACAGUGUCUGGUGGGUAGUUUGACUGGGGCGGUCUCCUCCUAAAGAGUAACGGAGGAGCACGAAGGUUGGCUAAUCCUGGUCGGACAUCAGGAGGUUAGUGCAAUGGCAUAAGCCAGCUUGACUGCGAGCGUGACGGCGCGAGCAGGUGCGAAAGCAGGUCAUAGUGAUCCGGUGGUUCUGAAUGGAAGGGCCAUCGCUCAACGGAUAAAAGGUACUCCGGGGAUAACAGGCUGAUACCGCCCAAGAGUUCAUAUCGACGGCGGUGUUUGGCACCUCGAUGUCGGCUCAUCACAUCCUGGGGCUGAAGUAGGUCCCAAGGGUAUGGCUGUUCGCCAUUUAAAGUGGUACGCGAGCUGGGUUUAGAACGUCGUGAGACAGUUCGGUCCCUAUCUGCCGUGGGCGCUGGAGAACUGAGGGGGCUGCUCCUAGUACGAGAGGACCGGAGUGGACGCAUCACUGGUGUUCGGGUUGUCAUGCCAAUGGCACUGCCCGGUAGCUAAAUGCGGAAGAGAUAAGUGCUGAAAGCAUCUAAGCACGAAACUUGCCCCGAGAUGAGUUCUCCCUGACUCCUUGAGAGUCCUGAAGGAACGUUGAAGACGACGACGUUGAUAGGCCGGGUGUGUAAGCGCAGCGAUGCGUUGAGCUAACCGGUACUAAUGAACCGUGAGGCUUAACCUU
This 2899-nucleotide ribosomal RNA is filed under the name Escherichia coli. RNAcentral describes it as "23S ribosomal RNA". It matches the Rfam family "Bacterial large subunit ribosomal RNA". Lineage: Bacteria; Pseudomonadati; Pseudomonadota; Gammaproteobacteria; Enterobacterales; Enterobacteriaceae. The record is from RNAcentral.